This 1098-nucleotide ribosomal RNA is filed under the name Curtobacterium sp. Its description in RNAcentral is "bacterial SSU rRNA". It matches the Rfam family "Bacterial small subunit ribosomal RNA", at positions 353 to 1459 of the family's 1533-position model. Lineage: Bacteria; Bacillati; Actinomycetota; Actinomycetes; Micrococcales; Microbacteriaceae. The record is from RNAcentral.
AGUGGGGGAAUAAUUGCACCAAUGGGCGAAAGCCUGAUGCAGCAACGCCGCGGUGAGGGAUGACGGCUUCGGGUUGUAAACCUCUUUAGUAGGGAAGAAGCGAGAGUGACGGUACCUGCAGAAAAAGCACCGGCUAACUACGUGCCAGCAGCCGCGGUAAUACGUAGGGUGCAAGCGUUGUCCGGAAUUAUUGGGCGUAAAGAGCUCGUAGGCGGUUUGUCGCGUCUGCUGUGAAAUCCCGAGGCUCAACCUCGGGCUUGCAGUGGGUACGGGCAGACUAGAGUGCGGUAGGGGAGAUUGGAAUUCCUGGUGUAGCGGUGGAAUGCGCAGAUAUCAGGAGGAACACCGAUGGCGAAGGCAGAUCUCUGGGCCGUAACUGACGCUGAGGAGCGAAAGCGUGGGGAGCGAACAGGAUUAGAUACCCUGGUAGUCCACGCCGUAAACGUUGGGCGCUAGAUGUAGGGACCUUUCCACGGUUUCUGUGUCGUAGCUAACGCAUUAAGCGCCCCGCCUGGGGAGUACGGCCGCAAGGCUAAAACUCAAAGGAAUUGACGGGGGCCCGCACAAGCGGCGGAGCAUGCGGAUUAAUUCGAUGCAACGCGAAGAACCUUACCAAGGCUUGACAUACACCGGAAACGGCCAGAGAUGGUCGCCCCCUUGUGGUCGGUGUACAGGUGGUGCAUGGUUGUCGUCAGCUCGUGUCGUGAGAUGUUGGGUUAAGUCCCGCAACGAGCGCAACCCUCGUUCUAUGUUGCCAGCGCGUUAUGGCGGGGACUCAUAGGAGACUGCCGGGGUCAACUCGGAGGAAGGUGGGGAUGACGUCAAAUCAUCAUGCCCCUUAUGUCUUGGGCUUCACGCAUGCUACAAUGGCCGGUACAAAGGGCUGCGAUACCGUAAGGUGGAGCGAAUCCCAAAAAGCCGGUCUCAGUUCGGAUUGAGGUCUGCAACUCGACCUCAUGAAGUCGGAGUCGCUAGUAAUCGCAGAUCAGCAACGCUGCGGUGAAUACGUUCCCGGGCCUUGUACACACCGCCCGUCAAGUCAUGAAAGUCGGUAACACCCGAAGCCGGUGGCCUAACCCUUGUGGGAGGAGCCGUACG